AACGAACGCUGGCGGCAUGCCUAACACAUGCAAGUCGAACGAGACCUUCGGGUCUAGUGGCGCACGGGUGCGUAACGCGUGGGAAUCUACCCUUGGGUUCGGAAUAACAGUUAGAAAUGACUGCUAAUACCGGAUGAUGACGUAAGUCCAAAGAUUUAUCGCCCAAGGAUGAGCCCGCGUAAGAUUAGCUUGUUGGUGGGGUAAUGGCCUACCAAGGCGACGAUCUUUAGCUGGUCUGAGAGGAUGAUCAGCCACUCUGGGACUGAGACACGGCCCAGACUCCUACGUGAGGCAGCAGUGGGGAAUAUUGGACAAUGGGCGAAAGCCUGAUCCAGCAAUGCCGCGUGAGUGAUGAAGGCCUUAGGGUUGUAAAGCUCUUUUACCAGGGAUGAUAAUGACAGUACCUGGAGAAUAAGCUCCGGCUAACCCCGUGCCAGCAGCCGCAGUAA
This 449-nucleotide ribosomal RNA is filed under the name uncultured bacterium. RNAcentral's name for it is "partial 16S ribosomal RNA". It matches the Rfam family "Bacterial small subunit ribosomal RNA", at positions 29 to 523 of the family's 1533-position model. The record is from RNAcentral.